This 496-nucleotide ribosomal RNA is filed under the name uncultured eukaryote. RNAcentral describes it as "SSU rRNA". It matches the Rfam family "Eukaryotic small subunit ribosomal RNA", at positions 96 to 590 of the family's 1831-position model. The record is from RNAcentral.
GCUCAUUAAAUCAGUUAUGGUUCACUAGAUCGUACAGUUUACAUGGAUAACUGUGGUAAUUCUAGAGCUAAUACAUGCAACCAGUCCGUGCCCUCGUGGUGCGGACGCAGUUAUUUGCCCAAGACCAAUCCGGCCCUCGGGUCGUUCAAUUGGUGACUCUGAAUAACCGAAGCAGAGCGCUUGGUCUCGUACCGGCGCCAGAUCUUUCAAGUGUCUGACUUAUCAGCUUGUUGUUAGGUUAUGUUCCUAACAAGGCUUUCACGGGUAACGGAGUGUCAGGGCCCGACACCGGAGAGGGAGCCUGAGAAACGGCUACCACAUCCAAGGAAGGCAGCAGGCGCGCAAAUUACCCACUCCCGGCACGGGGAGGUAGUGACGAAAAAUAACGAUGCGAGAGCUUUUAGCUUCUCGUAAUCGGAAUGGGUACACUUUAAAUCCUUUAACGAGGAUCUAUUGGAGGGCAAGUCUGGUGCCAGCAGCCGCGGUAAUUCCAGCU